This 775-nucleotide ribosomal RNA is filed under the name Polistes poeyi haitiensis. RNAcentral's name for it is "eukaryotic LSU rRNA". It matches the Rfam family "Eukaryotic large subunit ribosomal RNA", at positions 417 to 944 of the family's 3401-position model. Lineage: Eukaryota; Metazoa; Arthropoda; Insecta; Hymenoptera; Vespidae. The record is from RNAcentral.
AAACCUGAGGAACCCGAAAGAUCGAAUGGGAAGAUUCAGCGUCAGCGGCGCUAACUCGGCGGAUCGUGCGUCGUCUCGGACUUCGGUCUUGGGACGCGUAAUCUUUCCAUGCCUUGUUUGGCGUCGUCGUCGUGCACUUCUCCCCUAGUAGAACGUCGCGACCCGUUGGGUGUCGGUCUACGGUCCGAGCGGUAGACUGUCGCGUCGCUUCGGCGCACGCGGCAGACCCUCGGUCACCCGGCCGGCUGCCCGGCGGUCGAACUUAUAAGGUAUCUUGCCGCAAUUAUCGAACUGCGUCGGGCCCGUCGCAAGCGAGGCCAGUGUCUUACGGAGUUACGGACCCGGUGCCGUACCCGUGGCUGGCCAGCUGUUGGCAGGCGGAGUCCUUUGACGGGCAAUACACAAUGAUACCGGUCUGCGACGCUACUGCUUUGGGUACUCUCAGGACCCGUCUUGAAACACGGACCAAGGAGUCUAACAUGUGCGCGAGUCAUUGGGACUCUAAAACCUAAAGGCGCAAUGAAAGUGAAGGUCGUACUAAGGUCGACCGAGGGAGGAUGGGCCGCGUUUACGCGCGGCUCCGCACUCCCGGGGCGUCUCGUUCUCAUUGCGAGAAGAGGCGCACCCAGAGCGUACACGUUGGGACCCGAAAGAUGGUGAACUAUGCCUGGUCAGGACGAAGUCAGGGGAAACCCUGAUGGAGGUCCGUAGCGAUUCUGACGUGCAAAUCGAUCGUCGGAACUGGGUAUAGGGGCGAAAGACUAAUCGAACCAUC